UUAGAGGAAGUAAAAGUCGUAACAAGGUUUCCGUAGGUGAACCUGCGGAAGGAUCAUUACCGAGUAAGGGCUCCCUUGUCGGGGGCCCCGACCUCUUCACCGUGCUGAAUCGGACCCUGUUGCUUCAGCGGGCUGGAGGGUGAUGCUAGCCCAUCGCCUUCCACUCCGAUGCCCGCUGGAGACCCUUUUAAUGCUGAAACGAAUGCCGUCUGAGUGGGAAUAAAAAUCUAGUCGCAAAACUUUCAACAAUGGAUCUCUUGGUUCCGGCAUCGAUGAAGAACGCAGCGAAAUGCGAUAAGUAAUGUGAAUUGCAGAAUUCCGUGAAUCAUCGAAUCUUUGAACGCAUAUUGCGCCCUCUGGUACUCCAGAGGGCAUGCCUGUCCGAGUGUCAUUGCCUCUCUCCAAGCCGAGCUUGGGUGUUGGGCUGUCGUCCCCUCCCCGGCUGCGGGGCUGGGACGGGCCUGAAAGACAACGGCGGUGUCACGGUCAAAUCUCCGAGCGUAUGGGCUUUUCCCCGCUCCAUGGGUUUGAUGGGCGCCUGCCUCCCUGCAGUGUCGACUCCAGUGGACCUCGGAUCAGGUAAGGAUACCCGCUGAACUUAAGCAUAUCAAUAA
Molecule: ribosomal RNA, 614 nt
Filed under: Elaphomyces leveillei
Lineage: Eukaryota; Fungi; Ascomycota; Eurotiomycetes; Eurotiales; Elaphomycetaceae
Description: eukaryotic LSU rRNA
Rfam family: 5.8S ribosomal RNA (bases 238-391)
Source: RNAcentral